Molecule: ribosomal RNA, 534 nt
Filed under: uncultured bacterium
Lineage: Bacteria
Description: partial 16S ribosomal RNA
Rfam family: Bacterial small subunit ribosomal RNA
Source: RNAcentral
UGGGGAAUAUUGCACAAUGGGCGCAAGCCUGAUGCAGCCAUGCCGCGUGUGUGAAGAAGGCCUUCGGGUUGUAAAGCACUUUCAGCGAGGAGGAAGGUGGUGAACUUAAUACGUUCAUCAAUUGACGUUACUCGCAGAAGAAGCACCGGCUAACUCCGUGCCAGCAGCCGCGGUAAUACGGAGGGUGCAAGCGUUAAUCGGAAUUACUGGGCGUAAAGCGCACGCAGGCGGUUUGUUAAGUCAGAUGUGAAAUCCCCGGGCUCAACCUGGGAACUGCAUUUGAAACUGGCAAGCUAGAGUCUCGUAGAGGGGGGUAGAAUUCCAGGUGUAGCGGUGAAAUGCGUAGAGAUCUGGAGGAAUACCGGUGGCGAAGGCGGCCCCCUGGACGAAGACUGACGCUCAGGUGCGAAAGCGUGGGGAGCAAACAGGAUUAGAUACCCCUGGUAGUCCACGCUGUAAAACGAUGUCGAUUUUGGAGGUUGUGCCCUUGAGGCGUGGCUUCCGGAGCUAACGCGUUAAAUCGACCGCCUGGGG